GACGAACGCUGGCGGCGUGCUUAACACAUGCAAGUCGAGCGGAAAGGCCCUUCGGGGUACUCGAGCGGCGAACGGGUGAGUAACACGUGAGCAACCUGCCCUUGGCUUUGGGAUAACCCUCGGAAACGGGGGCUAAUACCGGAUAUCCACUUUGUACCGCAUGGUGUUUGGUGGAAAGUUUUUCGGCCAGGGAUGGGCUCGCGGCCUAUCAGCUUGUUGGUGGGGUGAUGGCCUACCAAGGCGACGACGGGUAGCCGGCCUGAGAGGGCGACCGGCCACACUGGGACUGAGACACGGCCCAGACUCCUACGGGAGGCAGCAGUGGGGAAUAUUGCACAAUGGGCGAAAGCCUGAUGCAGCGACGCCGCGUGAGGGAUGACGGCCUUCGGGUUGUAAACCUCUUUCAGCAGGGACGAAGCGAGAGUGACGGUACCUGCAGAAGAAGCGCCGGCCAACUACGUGCCAGCAGCCGCGGUAAGACGUAGGGCGCGAGCGUUGUCCGGAUUUAUUGGGCGUAAAGAGCUCGUAGGCGGCUUGUCGCGUCGACUGUGAAAACCUGCGGCUCAACCGCGUGGUCUGCAGUCGAUACGGGCAGGCUAGAGUUCGGUAGGGGAGACUGGAAUUCCUGGUGUAGCGGUGAAAUGCGCAGAUAUCAGGAGGAACACCGGUGGCGAANGCGGGUCUCUGGGCCGAUACUGACGCUGAGGAGCGAAAGCGUGGGGAGCGAACAGGAUUA
This 736-nucleotide ribosomal RNA is filed under the name uncultured Actinomycetes bacterium. Its description in RNAcentral is "bacterial SSU rRNA". It matches the Rfam family "Bacterial small subunit ribosomal RNA", at positions 28 to 780 of the family's 1533-position model. The record is from RNAcentral. Lineage: Bacteria; Bacillati; Actinomycetota; Actinomycetes.